GAUGAAGAACGCAGCGAAAUGCGAUAAGUAAUGUGAAUUGCAGAAUUCAGUGAAUCAUCGAAUCUUUGAACGCACAUUGCGCCCCUUGGUAUUCCGAGGGGCAUGCCUGUUCGAGCGUCAUUAUAACCCCUCAAGCUCAGCUUGGUGUUGGGGCCUGCUGCACUGGCAGCCCUUAAAAUCAGUGGCGGCGCCAUCUGGCUCUAAGCGUAGUAAUUCUUCUCGCUAUGGAGUCCUGGUGGAUGCUUGCCAUCAACCCCCAAUUUUUCUAUGGUUGACCUCGGGUCAGGUAGGGAUACCCGCUGAACUUAAGCAUAUCAAUAAGCGGAGGA
This 329-nucleotide unclassified non-coding RNA is filed under the name soil metagenome. RNAcentral describes it as "partial contains 5.8S ribosomal RNA, internal transcribed spacer 2, and large subunit ribosomal RNA". The stretch from base 1 to 120 matches the Rfam family "5.8S ribosomal RNA", at positions 35 to 154 of the family's 154-position model. The record is from RNAcentral.